This is a long non-coding RNA of Phacochoerus africanus (Common warthog), 1717 nucleotides long. RefSeq lists it as uncharacterized. The record is from RefSeq and is a predicted model, not a curated record. The transcript is spliced from 2 exons. NCBI's taxonomy places the organism in Eukaryota, Metazoa, Chordata, Mammalia, Artiodactyla, Suidae.
UGAAUCUCUCCUUCCACCCCAUCCUCUCUGACCGCUCCCCACACACCGCUGAGGGUGUACAGGUUACUGUGAAAAAAAGCCACAAGUAAGAAAGAAGACAAAUCUCUUCUAGAAAGGAGAUGCUGAUCUUUUGCAGUUAAUGAGUCCCCACGCAGCUGGACAGCUCCUCUCGGACACUGAGAACUCUAACCCCAAAAUGACCCCAAUUUGACACCGCAAGAUGAAAUUUUACCGCCUGUUAAAACCAUUUCCAGCCUGGGCAAAAGGAACUGACUGUUGACGGAGGUGUGUGCCGCCUUCUGCAACCCCCAUCUAAUGCCUGUCUCCCCAGCCUGCCCCACCUACUCUUCCUUUACCCCAAAUGUGGGAGAGCAGAUGAGCCUCGAAGCCCCGGUGGGGGUGCAGAGGCUGAGAAUGGAGCAGCAGCAUACUAUCUGCCUAGACAAUCAGAAAGCUUGUGCACCCCACUGCUUUGGAAUAGCUUCUAUCGGACUGCAAAAUUGAGGGUUAGCGGAGCUCAUGAAGUUCUUAAGUGUUUUUCAUUUCUAUUAACAAAACAUCAGCAAGUUGGUGAUUAAAAGCAACAGUCUUUUGAAUUCAUCAGAUUGACCAAGAAUCGACAUCGUGAAUCACCUCCAACUUGAUCUGUGUGUAAUUCACUGCAUUUCGAUGCUACUUUAAACUAACAGUUUCGUAAAUUACAUGCACCUAGGUAAGUGAAAUCUCUUUAGUCGCAUGAAAUUUGGGGUUCUCCCCUUAAGCAACUGGCGAAGUUUUAAAUGACAGAUUUUUCCUCCAGGAGGACCUCACUUGUAACUAAGGUCUUUGGAGUUCAUGAUGAUUGUUUGCUUGUUUUUUUUUCUUUUAACGGUAUCUCAAAAUGUCCUAUUUCUCUCUCCCUCCCACAUCUAACCAGACUGCCCCAGUUACUUGCUUUAAUAUAUUCAAUAAAAUGUAAAAGAAGUUAUGGAAUAUUAGAGAAAGAGAGAAAGAAAGAAAGGAAUUUAGGUUAAAAUGCCUUCUGCAUUGCCCAAAGGAUGAAAACACAUGAAAACAGAGUUCAAUUCUUUUUCUCUUGUAAAGCUCAAGAUUAUCAUGGAAUAACCAACCCAUUACCAGCUGAACAACUGUUUGAAAAUAUAGAAAUCAUCGCUUGGUCUGAAUUGUUUUUACUCAGAUGCACUGUCAUGGAAGCAUUAAAAAAAAAAAACCUACUAAUAUACCUUUUUUAAAUGAGGGCUGUAGGAAUGCUACCUCACUUCACAGUAUCAUUAUGAAAAGAAGCAAUGGUUAAAAAAAAAAAAAAGCAGAAGGUAGCACGUUUGAACGUUUAAACUCUGCGAUGCAGAGCUUCGAAGUUGAUUUUUACAAAAGGGGGUUUAUCAAGGAAAUUGAUUUUCUUUUUAAAAAGAAAAGUAAUUGGCGCUUACUAUACAAGAUAUUUAAAACAACAGUAAUCCUAUUGGCGACAACAAAUACGCAAUAUUGAAAAAAAAAAAAAGAAGAAACAGUUAGAAGAGUAACAGCUGAAAAACUGAGUAACAGCUUAGCUAGCGGCAUUGCAAGAGGACCAUGGAUCCACCAAUAUAGAGACCUUUGCAAAGUCGAAAAUGCUCCGCAGCGAGACCAGUUUGGUUUUUUUCCUCUCUCAUCCUUCCUGCCCUGGCUAAACUGAAUUCGCAUAAUUGUUUCUUGUAAUAAAAUUCUGGAAGUCAAA